This 545-nucleotide long non-coding RNA is filed under the name Mus pahari (shrew mouse). RNAcentral's name for it is "lncRNA (MGP_PahariEiJ_G0032969.1)". Lineage: Eukaryota; Metazoa; Chordata; Mammalia; Rodentia; Muridae. The record is from RNAcentral.
GUCUUGGGCUCCAGUUGAGGUGCAGAAGCCGGGGCCUGGGUCUGUCAAGCCAGCCAUGGGCACAGCAGACCUGAGUCCUGUCAGAGGAGCAGGUGGAUGAAGAGAUGGCUGCUUGAGCCGAACUGCACUGAAGACCCUAAGGGUUAGUGGCUCUCUACCUGUUGUUCCCUGACAGGAACACCAGGUGGUCAGACAGCAUAAUGAUUGCAUACCCAGCAGAACAUCCUGGAACCGUAUAGAUAUGGGAAGGGGCCCCUCUGUCGUUUCCACUGAAGGUUCAUGCCAACACCCAGGAAGAGGUAGAAAAUUCCACCCCCCCCUUCAUUUCUCCUGAUGGGCAAUGAAACAACAUGGCUUUCAGCUAGGAACAUUUAUUGAACACCCGAAACAAAAGAAGUGAAUGUCAGAGGGCAUACAUAACCCCCUGGGCUGUGAUCUCUAAAUUCUACGUUCAGGAGCCCUGACUGUGGACAUUGAGGGAAUGAAGAAAGCAUUGACGCAGAGAAACACAAUACAGCAGGCUCAGGUGGGGCUUUCUAGCGGCU